This 499-nucleotide ribosomal RNA is filed under the name uncultured bacterium. Its description in RNAcentral is "bacterial SSU rRNA". It matches the Rfam family "Bacterial small subunit ribosomal RNA", at positions 24 to 518 of the family's 1533-position model. The record is from RNAcentral.
UCAGGAUGAACGCUAGCUACAGGCUUAACACAUGCAAGUCGAGGGGCAGCAUGACCUAGCAAUAGGUGAUGGCGACCGGCGCACGGGUGAGUAACACGUAUCCAACCUACCGGUUAUUCCGGGAUAGCCUUUCGAAAGAAAGAUUAAUACCGGAUAGUAUAGCGAGAAGGCAUCUUCUUGUUAUUAAAGAAUUUCGAUAACCGAUGGGGAUGCGUUCCAUUAGUUUGUGGCGGGGUAACGGCCACCAAGACAUCGAUGGAUAGGGGUUCUGAGAGGAAGGUCCCCCACAUUGGAACUGAGACACGGUCCAAACUCCUACGGGAGGCAGCAGUGAGGAAUAUUGGUCAAUGGACGAGAGUCUGAACCAGCCAAGUAGCGUGAAAAGGAUGACUGCCCUAUGGGUUGUAAACUUCCUUUAUAUGGGAAUAAAGUGAGCCACGUGUGGCUUUUUGUAUGUACCAUACGAAUAAGGAUCGGCUAACUCCGUGCCAGCAGCUGC